This 373-nucleotide long non-coding RNA is filed under the name Zonotrichia albicollis (white-throated sparrow). RNAcentral describes it as "lncRNA (ENSZALG00000012652.1)". Lineage: Eukaryota; Metazoa; Chordata; Aves; Passeriformes; Passerellidae. The record is from RNAcentral.
CUGAAACACUAAAGCAAGAUAUGAAAGUUAUUAAUCUUGAAUUAUUUUCCAAUUCACUUUCCAGAUGUUGUGCUGUGCUACUCUGUGAUGCACCAGAAAGUUGAAAAUGUGAGAUUUACCUGUGCUGAUUCACAUCACCCGCAGUCAGUAUCUAUCUACAAAGACCUGCCAGUUGCCCCUUCAUCUGGAGGAAACCCAAAGCAGUCAAAAGGAAAUGCUUCUCAAAGGAUUAAGAACCCUGAAUUGGAUAGUUUAGCACAGGUAUGAGUGGAAGAAAGGAGUCACAGAUCUGGACUAAUACCGUACCUGAGUCCAGAAUAGAUUUUAAGGAUUCCAAGUGCCUGAAGAGGACACAUGCAGGUAAAUAACAAUA